This 553-nucleotide ribosomal RNA is filed under the name Colletotrichum gloeosporioides. RNAcentral's name for it is "eukaryotic LSU rRNA". The stretch from base 217 to 370 matches the Rfam family "5.8S ribosomal RNA". Lineage: Eukaryota; Fungi; Ascomycota; Sordariomycetes; Glomerellales; Glomerellaceae. The record is from RNAcentral.
GUCGUAACAAGGUCUCCGUUGGUGAACCAGCGGAGGGAUCAUUACUGAGUUUACGCUCUAUAACCCUUUGUGAACAUACCUAUAACUGUUGCUUCGGCGGGUAGGGUCUCCGCGACCCUCCCGGCCUCCCGCCUCCGGGCGGGUCGGCGCCCGCCGGAGGAUAACCAAACUCUGAUUUAACGACGUUUCUUCUGAGUGGUACAAGCAAAUAAUCAAAACUUUUAACAACGGAUCUCUUGGUUCUGGCAUCGAUGAAGAACGCAGCGAAAUGCGAUAAGUAAUGUGAAUUGCAGAAUUCAGUGAAUCAUCGAAUCUUUGAACGCACAUUGCGCCCGCCAGCAUUCUGGCGGGCAUGCCUGUUCGAGCGUCAUUUCAACCCUCAAGCUCUGCUUGGUGUUGGGGCCCUACAGCUGAUGUAGGCCCUCAAAGGUAGUGGCGGACCCUCCCGGAGCCUCCUUUGCGUAGUAACUUUACGUCUCGCACUGGGAUCCGGAGGGACUCUUGCCGUAAAACCCCCCAAUUUUCCAAAGGUUGACCUCGGAUCAGGGUAGGA